Molecule: ribosomal RNA, 417 nt
Filed under: uncultured bacterium
Lineage: Bacteria
Description: bacterial SSU rRNA
Rfam family: Bacterial small subunit ribosomal RNA
Source: RNAcentral
UUAACCGGAUUAGAUACCCUGGUAGUCCACGCCGUAAACGUUGGGCGCUAGAUGUGGGGACCACUCCACGGUUUCCGUGUCGCAGCUAACGCAUUAAGCGCCCCGCCUGGGGAGUACGGCCGCAAGGCUAAAACUCAAAGGAAUUGACGGGGGCCCGUACAAGCGGCGGAGCAUGCGGAUUAAUUCGAUGCAACGCGAAGAACCUUACCAAGGCUUGACAUAUACGAGAACGGGCUAGAAAUAGUCAACUCUUUGGACACUCGUAAACAGGUGGUGCAUGGUUGUCGUCAGCUCGUGUCGUGAGAUGUUGGGUUAAGUCCCGCAACGAGCGCAACCCUCGUUCUAUGUUGCCAGCACGUAAUGGUGGGAACUCAUAGGAGACUGCCGGGGUCAACUCGGAGGAAGGUGGGGAUGACG